AGUGAACGCUGGCGGUAGGCCUAACACAUGCAAGUCGAACGGCAGCACAGUAAGAGCUUGCUCUUACGGGUGGCGAGUGGCGGACGGGUGAGGAAUACAUCGGAAUCUACUUUUUCGUGGGGGAUAACGUAGGGAAACUUACGCUAAUACCGCAUACGACCUACGGGUGAAAGCAGGGGAUCUUCGGACCUUGCGCGAUUGAAUGAGCCGAUGUGGGAUUAGCUAGUUGGCGGGGUAAAGGCCCACCAAGGCGACGAUCCGUAGCUGGUCUGAGAGGAUGAACAGCCACCCUGGAACUGGGACUCGGUCCAUACUCCUACGGGAGGCAGCAGUGGGGAAUUUUGGGCAAUUGGCGCAAUCCUGAUCCAGCCCUACCGCGUGGGUGAAGAAGGCCUUCGGGUUGUAAAGCCCUUUUGUUGGGAAAGAAAAGCAGCAGGUUAAUACCCCGCUGUUCUGACGGUACCCAAAGAAUAAGCACCGGCUAACUUCGUG
RNAcentral lists this ribosomal RNA (492 nucleotides) under uncultured bacterium. RNAcentral describes it as "partial 16S ribosomal RNA". It matches the Rfam family "Bacterial small subunit ribosomal RNA", at positions 29 to 507 of the family's 1533-position model. The record is from RNAcentral.